This 497-nucleotide ribosomal RNA is filed under the name uncultured bacterium. RNAcentral describes it as "partial 16S ribosomal RNA". It matches the Rfam family "Bacterial small subunit ribosomal RNA", at positions 28 to 507 of the family's 1533-position model. The record is from RNAcentral.
GAUGAACGCUGGCGGCGUGCCUAAUACAUGCAAGUCGAGCGAACAGACGAGGAGCUUGCUCCUCUGACGUUAGCGGCGGACGGGUGAGUAACACGUGGAUAACCUACCUAUAAGACUGGGACAACUUCGGGAAACCGGAGCUAAUACCGGAUAAUAUAUUGAACCGCAUGGUUCAAUAGUGAAAGACGGUUUUGCUGUCACUUAUAGAUGGAUCCGCGCCGCAUUAGCUAGUUGGUAAGGUAACGGCUUACCAAGGCAACGAUGCGUAGCCGACCUGAGAGGGUGAUCGGCCACACUGGAACUGAGACACGGUCCAGACCCCUACGGGAGGCAGCAGUAGGGAAUCUUCCGCAAUGGGCGAAAGCCUGACGGAGCAACGCCGCGUGAGUGAUGAAGGUCUUCGGAUCGUAAAACUCUGUUAUUAGGGAAGAACAAAUGUGUAAGUAACUAUGCACGUCUUGACGGUACCUAAUCAGAAAGCCACGGCUAACUACGUG